GCCCACCAAUAAUAAUAAUAAUAAUAACAAAAACAAUAAUAAUAAUAAUUAUUAUUAUUAUAUUUUUAUUAGUUAUUAAUAAAAGAUGUAGUAAUAAUGAUUUCAAUCAAUAUAACCAACCAAACCUUUACCCCUCUCAGGAUCACGAAGGAGAUUUCUUGCUUCAAAAGGUGUUACAACACCUUCUUCAGAUACGGAUCAUCUCAGCCUGCAUCGAUGCACAGUACCUGUACUGCUGCCCCCAGUACUUCUGGUACCACUGAACAAAUCACUGCUACCUCCUCCAGGACAACAGAACCAAGUGCUGCUACCUCCUCCAGGACAACUGAACCAAGUGCUGCUAUAGGGUUGCAAAGGGGCAGAAAAUUUCCGUGUUACCUCCUCCAGGACAACUGAACCAAGUGCUGCUACCUCCUCCAGUGUUACCUCCUCCACGACAACAGAACCAGAGAGGAGUGAAUACUUCAGUGAGCUCUCAGCUUCAACCAUUUGUGCAAUAAGCAACGUUCCCUCAACUGAUGUUAUUGAUCAGGAGGAGAGAACAGCACCCCAAGGGCACGCUGCAGCUCGGGCAAAAAAGCUAACAUCAGAUGAUCCAGCUCAAUGGCCUGGUGUUCUCAGCAAUGAGGAAAAGUGUUUACUUGUUAAAAGAGGACCUGUUCAGAUCUUCAUCUCCUUUCCAACCUGACGGAUGGUCUUCCCCUGUUGAACCUCUUUCACUGCUCUUUCUAACUCCUCAAGAGGAGUUGAAAUCCUGUCUGUCUUCCGUUUGUAUUUGCGUGGCAUGAUAGAUUUUGGUCUAAAAUUAAGAAUGUCACAUAGUGUUAGUGAUCAAAUGUAAGAAUACAAUGUACAAUAACAGUAAAAUAUAAUAAAGUAAUAUAUAUUAAAUAAUCGUAAGUUGGGGUAAGUUGUGCCAGUGGCACAACUUAAGCCAGGCCCUUUGGCACAAAUCACCCCAAGCCCACCAUUUUGAAAAAAAUGCAUCCCCCAGCUGUUUUGAGCUAGCAUCAUGCUAACUGUAUAGACUCAUGGUGUAGCUUACUAAAGCACUAAAACAUGUGUGAACUGUUUUCAAAGUUGUCAAUAAUUGUUCAAACACAGCGAUCAAAAAACCCGAUCAUAGAAAUUUUACUUUGGAGGGCAUAAAAUUGUUUUUUGAAUUUAAAUGUGCUUACCUCUCAAGCCAUGUGUCUCCCUUCUUUGCAGGAUGAGUGAAAUGGAUGCCUCUUCAGAAAUAGGUGGUCACAUGGCCAACUUCUUCUAGGGUUUUCUAGAUAACAGGGGUGGAACUACUUGCCCCUUGGCACAAAUUACCCCACUCUCCCCUAUAAGAAAAGAACUGAUGUCUUGGCGUUUCCUGCUGUGCACAAACAUAUGGUAUGACAUCCUUUACCAAAUUAACAGAGUUAGCAAGCUUUUACAGAGUCUCACUUCUUCUCUUGAAGUUCUUCGAAAAGAGACAUGUGCAGUCCAACAGUACUUGCAGCACUUUAGAAAAAAAUUAUGGAAGCGAAUGUGACUCAAAACUCAAAUUCAAAAGCAUUAGCAGAAAUGCUUUUGCAUUUCAAAGUCAUGGCUGCACUAUUUGACUCAAAACUAAAAUUAAAAAGCAAU
Acanthochromis polyacanthus (spiny chromis) is the source of this 1617-nucleotide long non-coding RNA. RefSeq lists it as uncharacterized. NCBI's taxonomy places the organism in Eukaryota, Metazoa, Chordata, Actinopteri, Pomacentridae. The transcript has 5 exons. The record is from RefSeq and is a predicted model, not a curated record.